AGUAGACGUUCAGAGUUUGAUCCUGGCUCAGAUUGAACGCUGGCGGCAUGCCUUACACAUGCAAGUCGAACGGUAACAGGUCUUCGGAUGCUGACGAGUGGCGAACGGGUGAGUAAUACAUCGGAACGUGCCCGAUCGUGGGGGAUAACGAGGCGAAAGCUUUGCUAAUACCGCAUACGAUCUACGGAUGAAAGCAGGGGAUCAGUAAUGACCUUGCGCGGACGGAGCGGCCGAUGGCAGAUUAGGUAGCUGGUGGGAUAAAAGCUUACCAAGCCGACGAUCUGUAGCUGGUCUGAGAGGAUGAUCAGCCACACUGGGACUGAGACACGGCCCAG
This 335-nucleotide ribosomal RNA is filed under the name uncultured bacterium. RNAcentral describes it as "bacterial SSU rRNA". It matches the Rfam family "Bacterial small subunit ribosomal RNA", at positions 1 to 334 of the family's 1533-position model. The record is from RNAcentral.